GUUCAACGAUAAAUAUUAGAAAAUAAAAUUUUAUAAUUCAAAUAUUUUGAUAAUACUAAAAAAAAUUAUAAUAUUCACUACAAACGCCAGAAAACAAUAUUCAUUUAUUUUCGGCAUUACAACAAAAUAAUAUAAAAUAAAUUAUUUCCAAACGGAAUUCAAGGAGGAUGCAUACGCCAAUUUCAAAACAAAUAUCAAUUUCCACUAAAAAUAAAUUAACAACGAAGGAUAAUUAAAUUUAAAUUUGUUAAUUUUAAAAAAUUAAAUAUUAAUUCUACUAAAAAUAAUAAUAUAAUUUACACGAAACAAUUUAAAUCACUCGUUACUUUCACAUUCCCUGUUAUUUACAGGAGCCAAAUUUGAAUUAAAUUACCAUAAUUUGUCAGAUUUUAUAAUUAAUUAAAAAGUAAAUUUAAUUAUCCUUCAUUGUUAAUUUUAGAAAAAAUUGACAUAGAAAAACAAAACUAUAUUAACAAGAACACCAAACAAAAAGGACACAAGAAAACCAAUGUCACACAAACACCAUCAUAUCAGCUUACAAGAUGUAGAUCCUCUAGUCCAAUCCAUACAAAGGUAGAUCCUUCCUCAACCAGGCUCCAUCACACAAUAACUUGUGUUUAAUAAGAACAGUAAAACAUCAUAUCAGCUUACAAGAUGGAAACACAAGACAUGUUCAAAGAACAAUAAAAGUAAAAAACAUAUUGGUUUACCGAAAACAAUUAGAAACACACUCAAUUAAACAAACUUUGAACCCCAAUGACAAACACUAACUACUAGCCUAAUCCUUAUCAAAUUAUUUUUCCCUAUAUUAAUCGGUGCCUAAUGUGAUGGACACAGAUAAAUGCCAAAGGCAUUUUACAACUUAUCAUCAAGGAACUCAGAUUUUAAAGUAGGGCAUAAAAUAAGCACAUCAUAGGACAGGCAUCAGUCUCUGCCAACUAGACCACAAAGAAGUUGCAACAUCAAACAACUACCAAGUACCACAUAAGCAAAGCACAAUCAUUUGAUGAUCACAAGCAUUAUAAACAACAGCAACUCUUAAAGCUAAUUUUCAAGUUUAACUUAUGGCAGUAAAAUAGAAGCCAUAUUUGUCCGCAUAUGACAUUAAGCAAGCUUACAAGUCAAAGCAGAUCUUUUGGAAUUGAACCAAGCCAGCAACAAAUCUAGGCAGCCAUCAUCAAUAUCAAAACUGCUAAGUAUCAUUACCGACCCGAUCCCAUCAAGAAGGGCAGCAACAGCCCGCUACAGGUGGUUAUUCAUUAGUACUUGCACAAGUCACUCACGAACCCAUGAAUAUCAUACAACAGAACAUGUAUCAGCUACCACUUCACUGCUACAGUCACGGACUUGUAUGCUACUCGCUACAUUAAGCAACAUAAGUCAAACUUUACAUGCUAGGAUUCAACAUGGUAAAAGUCUAAUGUACACCCCAAACAAAUAAUCAAACAGAAACAUGUUACCAUGUCCAAUUCAGAGCAGCAUAUUAUGUUUGAUUUUAGUAUCAGCAAGAGAACUACAAACAGGUCCACCUCAUGUGCAGCAUCAGCUAUAGGUAAAACACGUUCAUCUUGUGUCCAACUUUUAAACCACCACAGCAACUACAACCCCAAAUCAGGACCAUAUUUCCAAAGUAAAACAAAUUCCAGAGAAAAUCAGGUCAACAUCAGACAUCUGAAUGACACUAGUGUUUCAGAAACCAUGACUGACUUCAUUCUUACCAAGCAUCAGAUAAUUUCGAGAAAUUGCAAUCACGAUCAUCCAUCUACAUUUUACAAACAGCAUCAACAGCCACAACAGCCACAACAUCAACAUUCUCGACAUCAGCCCUCAUAGCAAUCUUUCCAGAAACAGAUAUAAAACCCAAUAAAUAAUUUAUGGUAAAUCAAGACUACUAUGAAAUGAAUCACAUGCAAACAAUGACCAUACAGUUUGAAAACAGGAUCCCAAAAAUUAAAAAAGAAAGAGAACGUGAGAGAGAGAGAGAAAUAAAACAUACUUAUGUAGCUUACAAAUCAAAACAUUUUAUGAAUAAUAGAACAGAAACCUACAAACUACAAGAUCCAUACGUACCAAAUUGACCAAGUAAAGAAGCAUAAAGUUCAACAUAGAAAUAUUUAAGCACCAAAACAAAUACAACCCUACCAAAACUAGCUCAUAAAAAUUCUGACCAGAACACUCAUGAUGCUCGUCAGUCCUUAACAUUAGUAACAUGGCCAUAAGAAAUGCACUAGUCAUGUCUCCAUAAAAUUUCCCAUGCGACCCGCAGGUUCAUUCAUCAACAUCUGAGUUUCGAGGGGAUGCGCUACGACUACGAGAAGCAGCAGGUCUACCUCUAGGUGAGGCACUUCGUGGAGUUGGAGACCGACCAUCACGGCUGCGCCUAUCAGGGCUUUCACCCUUAGAUGGAGAAUUCUUACGGGGGGAAGAACUCCGAGGACUUGGGCUACGUCUAACAGGGGAUGCACUGUGAUAUAGACAGAAACAUUCAAACAAUGAUAAUGAUUAUGAUGAUGAUAAUCACAAAAAUAAAAGAAAUAAUAAUGUACCAAAAAUAAAAGAAACAACAAUGUAAAGGUAAAACAAGUCAACUCCUUAAAUCCAUAAUGAUUCAUUGAAUAACAAAGUUGUAAACCUAUCCACUGAUCGACUGCUGCUCCUCCGCUCAUCAUCAUAACGUCCUCUACCCCGGCCUCUAGAGUAAUCAGGACUGGCACUGCGACUCCUGCUCCGUCGACGAUAGUCUCUGUCCCUAGCACGAUACUUUUCACGCUCAUAUCUGUCCCGACUCCUGCUGCGACUUCUCCUCCUAUAGCCUUUAUCUCUAUAGUCAUCUCGGUACCUGAAAUUUUGAAAUAUCCAGCAACAAGAAACAAUAUGGUAAUUUAGUGACACAUUAGCCUAUAGAUAUAAGCUUAAAAGAUCCCAAACAAAGGUGUCACCGAGGCAAACCCUCUCAAGCCUCAAAUUUUAGCACCAUCACAUCAACUUAUAUCUACUUGGACACAAAUCGAGAGAAGGAUCACAUACGUUAGCUCACAAUAAAGGAACAUAAAGAAUGACCCAAACUCAUGAUGAGCAAUAGAACAAUUAAGAUAGUGCUUCAGAACAAUUUAAAUUAGUGAUCUUGCCAUCAAGUGAUAUUCUUGUUAGCUUCAAGCAGCAAGACAUGUUUCGAACUUGAAUGAAUAAUAAAAGAUAACAAAGCAUGCAGUCCAUGCGACCAAGGUUAGAAACACCAUUAAUCCACAAACAGGGGAAAGAGGGGAAGAACCGCAAUUUCUGAGAUUCAUGUAAUAUUGUUCAUCAAGCCAUCUUGGAACAGAAGAAUGUAUACCUUCUUCGAGGACUGCGACUCUGAGACCUGUAUCUUGACCUUGGAACAGAUUCAACAAUCCUUCCUUUAUGAACCCUCUCAGCAUUGGGCCCAUAUUUCGCGAACUGAACUGUAAUCUCCCGCCCAUCAACAACUCUUCCAUCUAGCCUAUCCACUGCCUUCUGUGCCUCAUCUGCAUACUUAUAGCGCACAAAUGCAAAUCCACGAGAGUCACCAGUCCUAACCAAUAAAAACCAUAGACAAAACGUUAUGAUAAGAAGGUUAACAUUCUUCAUACUCUCUGUUUUCUAGAGAGUAACCUUCAUCGCACAAAUCCCAGUAUCCAACAGUGGGAUAAGUUUGCCUGUGAAAUCAUGAAAAACAGUACCACACGUGCCCACAUGCCAAAAGGCGCAAAACCCAAACCACAAAAACAAACAGCCCAUGCUCAAAUCUCUAUUAAACCAUUCAAAACUGAAAACAGAGCAUCAUAAUAACCCACAACUCACACACAACUGAUUGAAACACUACUUGCACCACUUGAUAGCAUUGAAGGAAAUACUAAGUGCCAGCUGCCAAAUUACAAAACUUCAUAGUUCACAUUGUCUUUAAAUUUGCUUCAAGAAUAUGGGCAUAGCAUGCAAUUUGCCCCUUCCAAGCUUUGCAACAACAACAGGAGGCACACCACUAGUUAUGCAUGGAAAUCGAAGCAACAAAUACAUAGACAAGAUGCAGAUUUGAUGCAUUCCCAUGAAAAUUUUCACAAAGUGAGUUAACCCAACUACUCUUAUGCGUUUACUAUCUCCAAAAGUUAAAACAAGACCGAACCUCGUACGAAGAAGAGAUUCCACAUUCCCUCGUUCAAUAAAACAAUAAUUUCAAUUAUUUUCUUCAAGGAAUAAAUAUAAUCAGAAUUGAGAUUACAUAAUUUCAGCAAGAGAUCAAUAAGAAAAUGACAAGCAAAAUUGUAAUGAUAAAAAUCAAUAAAGAAAAGGAAACGUUGAGAAGCACCUUCGAUCUCUGGGGAUAAAGAUGUCGACGACCUUCCCGUACUUGUCAAAAAGAGGAAACAGAUCAUCAGCAGUAGUACGGAAGGUGAUGUUGAGGACAAGCAGGGAGUACGUGUCAACAAUAUCAGGAGGGCCAGACCUGCCGAAGUGAGACAUCUUUGGCUUCUGGUUAGAGAGAGAGCGAGAGAUAAGAGAAACGAGAUUAGGGUUUGUGGCUGGCUU
RNAcentral lists this unclassified non-coding RNA (4545 nucleotides) under Hevea brasiliensis (rubber tree). The record is from RNAcentral. Lineage: Eukaryota; Viridiplantae; Streptophyta; Magnoliopsida; Malpighiales; Euphorbiaceae.